GAUGAACGCUGGCGGCGUGCCUAAUACAUGCAAGUCGAGCGAACGGACGAGAAGCUUGCUUCUCUGAUGUUAGCGGCGGACGGGUGAGUAACACGUGGAUAACCUACCUAUAAGACUGGGAUAACUUCGGGAAACCGGAGCUAAUACCGGAUAAUAUUUUGAACCGCAUGGUUCAAAAGUGAAAGACGGUCUUGCUGUCACUUAUAGAUGGAUCCGAGCUGCAUUAGCUAGUUGGUAAGGUAACGGCUUACCAAGGCAACGAUGCAUAGCCGACCUGAGAGGGUGAUCGCCCACACUGGAACUGAGACACGGUCCAGACUCCUACGGGAGGCAGCAGUAGGGAAUCUUCCGAAAUGGGCGAAAGCCUGACGGAGCAACGCCGCGUGAGUGAUGAAGGUCUUCGGAUCGUAAAACUCUGUUAUUAGGGAAGAACAUAUGUGUAAGUAACUGUGCACAUCUUGACGGUACCUAAUCAGAAAGCCACGGCUAACUACG
Molecule: ribosomal RNA, 495 nt
Filed under: uncultured bacterium
Lineage: Bacteria
Description: partial 16S ribosomal RNA
Rfam family: Bacterial small subunit ribosomal RNA
Source: RNAcentral